Molecule: long non-coding RNA, 1193 nt
Filed under: Gouania willdenowi (blunt-snouted clingfish)
Lineage: Eukaryota; Metazoa; Chordata; Actinopteri; Blenniiformes; Gobiesocidae
Description: lncRNA (ENSGWIG00000017476.1)
Source: RNAcentral
CAUCAAUCUCUAGAAGAACCAAACCUCAGCACCAACCUGUUCAUCAUGAUGAUCAGAAUCCUCUGCCUGAGCGUCCUUGUGCUGCUUUUCUGCACAGACAUUGAAGCUAAAAAAGAAAAGACCGAAAAGUUCAAAAAGUUCAAGUGUUUCACUUGUACAGAGAAAUACUGCAAAAAACAACAGUAUUGUAGUGAAGGACAGGUCUGCAUGAGCGCCUCUGUUAUCGAAGUCACACAUGGACAUCAGAAUAAAUCCUACUACAGGUCCUGUACGUCACCUUCAUACUGUCCAAAGAGUGAAAAAACAGAGACCAUGUCCAUCGGCUUGGGUUAUCAGGUGUUUGUGGCGACCGUUAAGUGCUGCAAGUCCCAUCUCUGCAACAAAAAACCUCAACCCCACCCUAAGAUACCAUCAGGAAAUGGGUUGACGUGCCUUUUCUGCAGCAACACUAUAAACCCAAAGGAAUGCAAAGUCAAGGAAUGCAUUGGAAAUCAAACUCACUGCGUGCGAGCAAUCAGAAAUGGAACUCAUCAGAGUGGGUGUGCAACUAAAAACUUCUGUCACCCCAACAAGCCUGUUAAAGGCUUCGCUGGUGCCCUCAGUUUUCCAGCUGUGUGUGAGAAAGCAAAACCUGCACCUGAACCAACAACUGCUGAACCAACAAUUGCUGAACCAACAACUGCUGAACCAACAACUGCUGAACCAAAGUGUGUUCCAGUUGAAACCACUCCUGAACCAACCCUUCCACCCUGUGAUAGAAAGGGAUAACUACUCCCACCACGUAAAACCAGUUUCUUUGUCUUGCUGACAAAACCAUUAAAAGGUUGAUUAAAGUCUGGGUGAAUCUUUAGUGGAUCCUACAUCAAACAUAGAGAUCUUAACAAACUUAUCAGACCACCACCCACUGUGAGCUUAAAUCACAGCAUUGGUAAAUAUCUUUGUUUCUGUCAUUUGGCUAAUCUCCUAAACAAAAAAAAUAGUCGGUGGUUGAAUACAUUUGUUAACCAACUCAUGUGAUGUUUUGCUUUUAGUGAUGUUAUUAGAUGAUGAAUUAAUGAAGAUCAAAGCUUCUUUCAAAGGAGCUUUGAUGACUUCUAACUUCUAAAUGUGACUCUUUUAGUAAAGGUAGCAGGGCUGAGUUUCUAAUGCUUUCUUAAAAUGCUUUCUGCAUGGGAACAAUCAUUAAAGAGGUG